Molecule: unclassified non-coding RNA, 240 nt
Filed under: soil metagenome
Description: partial contains 5.8S ribosomal RNA, internal transcribed spacer 2, and large subunit ribosomal RNA
Source: RNAcentral
AACGGUCUAUACCUGCGGUACCUGCGGAAGGAUCAUUACCGAGUUAUCAACUCCCAAACCCCUGUGAACAUACCCGAACGUUGCCUCGGCGGGACCGCCCCGGCGCCCCUAGCGGCCCGGAACCAGGCGCCCGCCGGAGGACCCAAACUCUUGCUUUAAACAGUGGCAUACUCUCUGAGUCUCACAAACAAAAAAUAAAUCAAAACUUUUAGCAAUGGAUCUCUAGAUCGGAAGAGCACA